Molecule: ribosomal RNA, 705 nt
Filed under: Triticum aestivum (bread wheat)
Lineage: Eukaryota; Viridiplantae; Streptophyta; Magnoliopsida; Poales; Poaceae
Description: partial small subunit ribosomal RNA
Source: RNAcentral
AUGAUCCCAGGACCUGGAAUCAUACCAGCUGAUGGGUGGUGGUUUAUUUCUCGUUCAGCUGACGGUGGCCAUUUGAUGCUCAUUUGCAUGUACCAAAUUGACCAAACCAUUUCAUCAAACCACAUCCAGUACAAUGCCUGGGGCUACCAUAUAACUGGAAUUAACCCAUGCAAGUCGAAGAAGGAUUGGUUGGUGCUGUCGGCCGACGUCAAGUUCGAUCCCACGGAUCAGGAGCUGAUCGAGCACCUUGAGGCCAAAGUGAGUGCUAACAGCUCGAGAUCUCACCCUCUCAUCGAUUUGUUGAUACCAACCAUCGACAGCGAGCACGGCAUAUGCUACACCCAUCCUAAGAAACUUCCAGGUAUCACACUGAGUGGCCUAAGCAAGCAUUUCUUCCAGCGCAAUUCUAGGGCGUUCAAAAGGGGCACGUGGACGCGUCGCAAGAUACAGUCGGAGUGCGGCAUGCACGCGAUGUGGCACAACAUCGACAAUACCUUGCCAGUGAUGGUCAACGGCCGGCAAACGGGCAGCAAAAAGGUUCUGGUGCUGCACACCAACAAGAACUUCGACCAGCAGAGGACCAACUGGGUGAUGCACCAGUACCACCUCGGGGACCUGGAGCAAGAGAAGGAGCGGGAGCUGGUCCUCUGUAGGAUUUUCUACCAGACGAACACUAGGGCCAGGAGUAAAAAGAUUAUAAGUUAG